Molecule: microRNA precursor, 67 nt
Filed under: Bombyx mori (domestic silkworm)
Lineage: Eukaryota; Metazoa; Arthropoda; Insecta; Lepidoptera; Bombycidae
Description: mir-2774 microRNA precursor family
Rfam family: mir-2774 microRNA precursor family
Source: Rfam by way of RNAcentral
ACAAAAUUUGGAUCGUCAAUCUACCGAGCAAUAUCACCCGCUCGGUGGAAGAUCUUACCUUUCUACC